AGAGUUUGAUCAUGGCUCAGGACGAACGCUGGCGGCGUGCUUAAUACAUGCAAGUCGAGCGAGGUUACUGUUUCGGAUCCCUUCGGGGUGAAGAAGCUUUAACCUAGCGGCGGACGGGUGAGUAACGCGUGGGUAACCUACCCCAAAGUCCGGGAUAACAGCGGGAAACCGCUGCUAAUACCGGAUGCCUUUACCUUGGGGCAUCUUGAGGUAAAGAAAGGUAACGCUUUGGGAUGGGCCCGCGUCCCAUUAGCUAGUUGGUGAGGUAACGGCUCACCAAGGCGACGAUGGGUAGCCGGCCUGAGAGGGUGGACGGCCACACUGGGACUGAGACACGGCCCAGACUCCUACGGGAGGCAGCAGUAGGGAAUAUUGCGCAAUGGACGGAAGUCUGACGCAGCGACGCCGCGUGAGCGAUGAAGGUCUUCGGAUCGUAAAGCUCUGUCCUUGGGGAAGAAGGUCUUCGGACUUGACGGUACCCAAGAAGAAAGCCCCGGCUAACUACGUGCCAGCAGCCGCGGUAAUACGUAGGGGGCGAGCGUUGUCCGGAAUUACUGGGCGUAAAGGGUGCGUAGGCGGCCCUUUAAGUCGGAUGUGAAAGCCCGCGGCUUAACCGCGGAAUGGCAUUCGAAACUGGAGGGCUUGAGUGUCGGAGAGGGUAGUGGAAUUCCCAGUGUAGCGGUGAAAUGCGUAGAUAUUGGGAGGAACACCAGUGGCGAAGGCGACUACCUGGACGAUAACUGACGCUGAGGCACGAAAGCUAGGGGAGCAAACAGGAUUAGAUACCCUGGUAGUCCUAGCCGUAAACGAUGGGUACUAGGUGUGGGUGGUUUCGAUACCAUCCGUGCCGUAGUUAACGCAUUAAGUACCCCGCCUGGGGAGUACGUGCGCAAGCAUGAAACUCAAAUGAAUUGACGG
RNAcentral lists this ribosomal RNA (918 nucleotides) under uncultured bacterium. RNAcentral's name for it is "bacterial SSU rRNA". It matches the Rfam family "Bacterial small subunit ribosomal RNA", at positions 8 to 916 of the family's 1533-position model. The record is from RNAcentral.